UGAAUAUCAUAUCAAAAAUUGACCGCUCCAGCGGGGUUCGAACCCGCGCCUCCGACAUACCGUGUCGGCGCUCUAGCCAAUUAAGCUAUGGAACGAUGCACCCGCUCGAGCGAAAUUUUCGAUAUGAUAAUUUUUAAUUUCGGUUUAAAGCGAACCGUGGCGCCGUCUAUAGUGAGCUCUUUACAGAAACCCGUAACUAUUCAAAGUUUCAUAUUACAAUGAAAAUCUUUGACAGGAGACGACACCGUGCUAUUUUUAAUAUCUAAGAUUUUUUUUUUUUUUUUUUUUUUUUUUUUUUUUUUUUAUUUUUUUUUUUUUGUAUUUUUUUUUUUUUUUUUUUAUUUUUUUUUGUGUUACCCACAUUAGGAAUUCUAAACAUUUUUGAAUAUCAUAUCAAAAAUU
This 402-nucleotide transfer RNA is filed under the name Melitaea cinxia (Glanville fritillary). Its description in RNAcentral is "misc RNA ENSMCXG00005002452.1". The record is from RNAcentral. Lineage: Eukaryota; Metazoa; Arthropoda; Insecta; Lepidoptera; Nymphalidae.